AUGACGUCAAAUCAUCAUGCCCCUUAUGACCUGGGCUACACACGUGCUACAAUGGUUGGUACAACGAGUUGCGAGUCGGUGACGGCGAGCUAAUCUCUUAAAGCCAAUCUCAGUUCGGAUUGUAGGCUGCAACUCGCCUACAUGAAGUCGGAAUCGCUAGUAAUCGCGGAUCAGCACGCCGCGGUGAAUACGUUCCCGGGUCUU
RNAcentral lists this ribosomal RNA (204 nucleotides) under uncultured Streptococcus sp. RNAcentral describes it as "partial 16S ribosomal RNA". It matches the Rfam family "Bacterial small subunit ribosomal RNA", at positions 1179 to 1382 of the family's 1533-position model. Lineage: Bacteria; Bacillati; Bacillota; Bacilli; Lactobacillales; Streptococcaceae. The record is from RNAcentral.